GGGUCUAACUGUCAACCCUGAUAUGGUCAUCCACAUUGUAUUUCAAUUUUCACAAUCUAUCAUAUGGAUUAUCCUGAUUGAGAUUUUACUAAAUUGAAAUACACUGAUGCAUUAACUCCUACUUAUUCAGAGGGAUCAAUUCUAUCUUAACUCACAUAUCGAUUUUGUAAGUACUUGACUGUAUCCAGAAAUCUUUCAUUACUGAAUUAGAAAUUCAAGUAGUCCAACAUCAAAGUAUAGUGAGUUGCUUGCAAGUCAUCAUGGUGAUCUU
This 271-nucleotide long non-coding RNA is filed under the name Elaeis guineensis (African oil palm). RNAcentral's name for it is "long non-coding RNA (EGUI_LNC080913)". Lineage: Eukaryota; Viridiplantae; Streptophyta; Magnoliopsida; Arecales; Arecaceae. The record is from RNAcentral.